RNAcentral lists this transfer RNA (72 nucleotides) under Bos taurus (domestic cattle). It matches the Rfam family "tRNA". From Rfam's summary of the family: Transfer RNA (tRNA) molecules are approximately 80 nucleotides in length. Their secondary structure includes four short double-helical elements and three loops (D, anti-codon, and T loops). Further hydrogen bonds mediate the characteristic L-shaped molecular structure. tRNAs have two regions of fundamental functional importance: the anti-codon, which is responsible for specific mRNA codon recognition, and the 3' end, to which the tRNAs corresponding amino acid is attached (by aminoacyl-tRNA synthetases). tRNAs cope with the degeneracy of the genetic code in two manners: having more than one tRNA (with a specific anti-codon) for a particular amino acid; and 'wobble' base-pairing, i.e. permitting non-standard base-pairing at the 3rd anti-codon position. The record is from Rfam by way of RNAcentral. RNAcentral also lists the same sequence under 5 other names. Lineage: Eukaryota; Metazoa; Chordata; Mammalia; Artiodactyla; Bovidae.
UCCCUGGUGGCUCAGCGGGUAGAGAGUCUGCCUGCAAUGCAGGAGACCUAAGUUCGAUCCCUUGAUCGGGAA